Molecule: ribosomal RNA, 395 nt
Filed under: uncultured bacterium
Lineage: Bacteria
Description: bacterial SSU rRNA
Rfam family: Bacterial small subunit ribosomal RNA
Source: RNAcentral
GUGUCAGCAGCCGCGGUAAUACGUAGGGUGCAAGCAUUAAUCGGAUUUAUUGGGCGUAAAGGGCGCGUAGGCUGGAGCGUAAGUCAGAUGUGAAAUCCCGGGGCUCAACCCCGGAAUAGCAUUUGAAACUGCGUUCCUAGAGGGUAGGCGGAGAAAACAGAAUUCCACAAGUAGCGGUGAAAUGCGUAGAUAUGUGGAAGAAUACCUGUGGCGAAGGCGGUUUUCUAGCUUAUACCUGACGCUGAGGCGCGAAAGCAAGGGGAUCAAACAGGAUUAGAUACCCUGGUAGUCCUUGCCGUAAACUAUGUAUACUUGGUGUAGCCGGAAUCAACCCUGGCUGUGCCGGAGCUAACGCGUUAAGUAUACCGCCUGGGGAGUACAGUCGCAAGGCUGAA